GUCUACGGCCAUACCACCUUGAAUGUGCCAGAUCUCAUCUGAUCUCAGAAGCUAAGCAGGGUUGUACUGGCUAGUACUUGGAUGGGAGAAAAACAGAACUGCUCUGAAAC
Molecule: ribosomal RNA, 110 nt
Filed under: Heterocephalus glaber (naked mole-rat)
Lineage: Eukaryota; Metazoa; Chordata; Mammalia; Rodentia; Bathyergidae
Source: RNAcentral